UUAAAAGCUGACAACCAGUGGGAAAGACUAUCUUUCUGGAGAUCUCUCCUUUUGGAGUUUUCUAGUGAGCCCAGGACAAGGAUGAGUACUGUAAGAAAAAAAGGAGAAACCAUGAAUCAGGUGACUUGAAAUUCUUCAGAUCAUCACCACUAGAUGUAUAUUUUCACCAGCAAUGAACAAGAGCCUGCAUGCAGCAUACAUUACAGGUGACCCCAUGGUGACAGUUUCCACUGCUGAAAUGCAUCAACAACCACUUCAGUGUGUUCAUAUCUACUAUUCAGACUCAUAAACAUCCAACCUUCAGAUUAUGUUCAUGUACGAAGAGUGGAUUCAGUACCUCCAUGAUCUAACAUGGAAUAUGGGCAAGUUCUCUUUACUGUGAAGAUGAUGAGCCACUGGAAUAGGUUGUCCAGUGAAGCUGUGGACACUCACCCUGAAAGUAUUCGUGGUUGGAGGAGCCCAUGGAGGCUAGAUGGGGCUUUGAAAAACUUGGCGUAGAGGGAGGCAUCUCUGAGUAUAGCAGGAAGACUGGAACUAGAUGAUCUUAAAGGUCCCUUCCAACCCAAAUCCAUGAUUCUGUGAUCCCCAAGAAAUGAAUGUGUGGGUCUUAGCUGCCAAAAAAAUGAAUACAGUUCUUAUGUGAACAAUGAUUCUUACUUGCUGGAAACUGAGAAGCACCUCCAAUAGAACACAGCUGUGUGAAAAUCAAGAACAAAGAUUUGUUUUCUUUUUCUGGCUGCAGUAAAAUACAAAUUUGGCAGAAAUAAUAAGAUAAGAUUGCUCAUAAAUAAAUAACAAAUUAAACAAAGACAGUUGGGCAGUAAUUGUUUCUGUAUUUUCAGUUGCUUCCAUUGCAAGCUUUGACAUUGACUUUAUCAGUACGUAUUCUGCGUUGGAUAAGAUUUUGGUCAGACAUGCCAAGAAAUAUAAUUUAAAUUUUACAAUACAAGUCGAUUACAACAGUAUUACCCACACCAUUUUUCAAGUGAUUUCUUGAGGCCAUAGUCACAUAAUCAUUGGAGGCCUGAAUUUU
This is a non-coding RNA of Meleagris gallopavo (turkey), 1033 nucleotides long. NCBI's taxonomy places the organism in Eukaryota, Metazoa, Chordata, Aves, Galliformes, Phasianidae. The record is from RefSeq and is a predicted model, not a curated record.